This 497-nucleotide ribosomal RNA is filed under the name uncultured bacterium. RNAcentral describes it as "partial 16S ribosomal RNA". It matches the Rfam family "Bacterial small subunit ribosomal RNA", at positions 28 to 507 of the family's 1533-position model. The record is from RNAcentral.
GACGAACGCUGGCGGCGUGCCUAAUACAUGCAAGUAGAACGCUGAAGAGAGGAGCUUGCUCUUCUUGGAUGAGUUGCGAACGGGUGAGUAACGCGUAGGUAACCUGCCUUGUAGCGGGGGAUAACUAUUGGAAACGAUAGCUAAUACCGCAUAACAAUGGAUGACACAUGUCAUUUAUUUGAAAGGGGCAAUUGCUCCACUACAAGGUGGACCUGCGUUGUAUUAGCUAGUAGGUGAGGUAAUGGCUCACCUAGGCGACGAUACAUAGCCGACCUGAGAGGGUGAUCGGCCACACUGGGACUGAGACACGGCCCAGACUCCUACGGGAGGCAGCAGUAGGGAAUCUUCGGCAAUGGGGGCAACCCUGACCGAGCAACGCCGCGUGAGUGAAGAAGGUUUUCGGAUCGUAAAGCUCUGUUGUAAGUCAAGAACGGGUGUGAGAGUGGAAAGUUCACACUGUGACGGUAGCUUACCAGAAAGGGACGGCUAACUACGUG